CGCCUCCAUAUAUUCGGGCCUCGCCGCACCCCCGUCAAAUCCACGCGAACAUCGCCACGCCAAGGGAGAGGAGAGCUCGGAAAGCAUCGCCAGCGCCGCAGCCCCCCGCGAAUCCGCGCCCGGAUCUCCCGGCCCGGCGGCGAUGGCGCUCUCCGACCUCUCCCGCGACUCGCUCCUCCCCAGCUUCCUCUACUCCCCGCGCUCCUUCGCCGCCGCCGCCUCCCCGCGCUUCCCCUCCUCCCCGUCGCCCUACCAGGCGCCCGCCUCGCCCGCCGCGGCCCCGGCUGCUGGCCUCGUCGGCGCUGGCGGGGUCGGGGGCGGCAGGCCCUUCUCGAUCCGCGCGCCCAACGAGAAGAUAGAGAUGUACUCUCCCGCCUUCUACGCCGCCUGCACCGCCGGGGGGAUCGCCAGCUGCGGGCUCACCCACAUGGCCGUCACCCCGCUCGACCUCGUCAAGUGCAACAUGCAGAUUGACCCGGCGAAAUACAAGAGCAUCUCAUCUGGAUUUGGUGUUCUGUUAAAGGAGCAAGGAGCUAGGGGAUUCUUCAGGGGAUGGGUGCCUACCUUGCUUGGUUACAGUGCUCAGGGGGCUUGCAAGUUUGGGUUCUACGAGUUCUUUAAGAAGACCUACUCAGAUAUGGCUGGGCCUGAGAAUGCUGUGAAGUACAAGACCCUGAUUUACCUUGCAGGGUCAGCUUCUGCUGAGGUAAUUGCUGAUAUUGCUCUGUGCCCCUUUGAAGCUGUCAAGGUCCGUGUGCAGACACAGCCUGGAUUUGCUCGUGGGUUGAGUGAUGGGCUUCCCAAGUUCAUCAAAGCUGAGGGUGCUGCUGGGCUCUACAAGGGCAUUGUUCCGCUCUGGGGUCGCCAGAUUCCUUACACCAUGAUGAAGUUUGCUUCCUUUGAGACCAUUGUUGAGCUUAUCUACAAACACGCUGUUCCUGUUCCCAAGGCCGAGUGCAGCAAGUCUUCCCAGUUGGGUAUCAGCUUUGCUGGUGGCUACAUUGCUGGUGUCUUCUGUGCUAUUGUUUCUCACCCGGCUGACAACCUGGUCUCUUUCCUCAACAAUGCCAAGGGUGCUACAGUGGGUGAUGCUGUUAAGAAGAUUGGCAUGUUGGGCCUUUUCACCAGAGGACUUCCCCUUCGCAUCGUCAUGAUCGGUACUCUUACCGGUGCUCAGUGGGGAAUCUAUGACGCCUUCAAGGUCAUGGUGGGACUCCCGACCACCGGCGGUGCUCCACCAGUUGCUCCGGUAGAGGAAGCAGCGAAAGCCAUCGCUUGAUUGAUUUUUCCUACUAUGACGAUGACGAUGUAUUCCGGGAUGAUGGGGUAUUGGUGGAUGGGGACUGUAUCAAUUACUUGAGUUUAGCACCCGAAAUCUUUUGUUAUUGUAGCAGAUGGUUAUUGUGUCAUCAUUUUGAUGAGAGGAACUCAUUAAGCAGGCGAAAUAGGCCUUUUUUUGUCCCCGGGAAGUUUGAUGCUUGACAUAAUAAGUUUUAGGACAGCAAGGCUGUUAGAGCGCAGGUUUUGCCAUCACCUGUACUGAGGAAUUCCCAUAUUAUACUCCUGUUUACCUCCAAUUCUAUGCUGUUGAUAUCGUGGCAUGUUCGUUUCUGAACGGGUAGAACGUUUAUUGUUUUACUAGUAGUAGUAGUUAUCUUCUCUUCGUGCUUGCAAAAUCAUUCCUUGGUCUUCUGAGAUAAGUCAUGCAGUACUAUUGUUUUGUUCGGGCAAACAGGUAGACAGAGUAUUAGGCUGG
This 1756-nucleotide ribosomal RNA is filed under the name Triticum aestivum (bread wheat). RNAcentral's name for it is "partial small subunit ribosomal RNA". Lineage: Eukaryota; Viridiplantae; Streptophyta; Magnoliopsida; Poales; Poaceae. The record is from RNAcentral.